AGGACGAACGCUGGCGGCGUGCUUAACACAUGCAAGUCGAGCGGUAAGGCCCUUCGGGGUACACGAGCGGCGAACGGGUGAGUAACACGUGGGUGACCUGCCCUCAGCUCUGGGAUAGGCCUGGGAAACUGGGUCUAAUACCGGAUAUGACCUCUUGUCGCAUGACAGGUGGUGGAAAGUUUUUCGGCUGGGGAUGGGCCCGCGGCCUAUCAGCUUGUUGGUGGGGUGAUGGCCUACCAAGGCGACGACGGGUA
RNAcentral lists this ribosomal RNA (254 nucleotides) under uncultured bacterium. RNAcentral describes it as "partial small subunit ribosomal RNA". It matches the Rfam family "Bacterial small subunit ribosomal RNA", at positions 26 to 285 of the family's 1533-position model. The record is from RNAcentral.